UUGGGCGUAAGGGCGUGUAGGCGGUCUUUUAAGUCAGGGGUGAAACCCCGGGGCUCAACCCCGGGCCUGCCUCUGAAACUGGGAGACUUGAGUGCUCUAGAGGGCAGUGGAAUUCCCGGUGUAGCAGUGAAAUGCGUAGAGAUCGGGAGGAACACCAGUGGCGAAGGCGACUGCCUGGGGAGUAACUGACGCUGAGGCGCGAAAGCUGGGGGAGCAAACGGGAUUAGAUACCCCGGUAGUCCCAGCCGUAAACGAUGAGUGCUAGGUGUAGGGGGUAUCGACCCCCCCUGUGCCGGAGUUAACGCAAUAAGCACUCCGCCUGGGGAGUACGGCCGCAAGGUUGAAACUCAAAGGAAUUGACGGGGGCCCGCACAAGCAGCGGAGCAUGUGGUUUAAUUCGAAGCAACGCGUAGAACCUUACCAGGGCUUGACAUCCUUCGGACCUUGCAGAGAUGUGAGGGUGCCCUUCGGGGAGCGAAGAGACAGGUGGUGCAUGGUUGUCGUCAGCUCGUGUCGUGAGAUGUUGGGUUAAGUCCCGCAACGAGCGCAACCCCUAUGGUAUGUUGCCAGCACUUCGGGUGGGCACUCAUGCCAGACUGCCGGUGACAAACCGGAGGAAGGUGGGG
Molecule: ribosomal RNA, 626 nt
Filed under: uncultured bacterium
Lineage: Bacteria
Description: bacterial SSU rRNA
Rfam family: Bacterial small subunit ribosomal RNA
Source: RNAcentral